Monomorium pharaonis (pharaoh ant) is the source of this 4463-nucleotide long non-coding RNA. RefSeq lists it as uncharacterized. The record is from RefSeq and is a predicted model, not a curated record. Lineage: Eukaryota; Metazoa; Arthropoda; Insecta; Hymenoptera; Formicidae. The transcript has 2 exons.
CCACUAUUGCAGCAAGCCCUUUAAUUGAAAAAAGCCCAAAAGAAAUAAUCAAACCAUAAUAAGUCCAAAAUUUGGUUUGUUUCGGACUUUCUAUGAAUGUCCGAAAUUGUGACAAACGUAUAUCCCAUGGAUGUCCAUUAAAGAACUUUCUAUGAACAAAGUUGUGUUAAACGUAUAUCCUAUGGACGUCCAUCGAAUGUCCGACGGACCUUAUUUGGACUCUUAAUGGAUGUCCGAAUGUCCAGAAGCGGAUAUCCAUUGGACAUACAAUGGAUGUCCUUGUGCUAUCUGGGUAUGGACACGGUAUCCAAACAGCACAAUGAUGUCCAUAGAACAUCCAAAGUGUCCAGGACGUAGAUGCAGAAUAUCCUGAGGACAUCCCAUUUUAAUCCUAGAAUUUCCUCUGGACAUCCCGAGGAACAGUGUAUGAGAGCCGUGUAUAAGCCCCUGGAACAUCCAGGGAGAUCCUGUGGAUCAUCUUAAGGAUUUCCACAGGACAUAUUAAGGAUUCUAUAGGAUAUGUUAGAGAUAUUUUUGGAACUUUAAGGACCAAAUUCUGAAAGUGAAAUAUAGAUCAACUACCCAGCAAACACAAAGUUACAUGUAACGUGCUUGUUAGUUGUAAUUUCCCACUCAAUGAUAUAAUUGCAAUAUAACAUACGUACGUUAUAUUACAAUUACAUUGUUGAGUGGGAAAUUACAACUAACAGAUACGUUACAUGUAAAUUGGUGUUUGGUGGGUAAUUAAUAUUUCAAACUAAGUAUGUAAGAUAAACUAAACAUUUAGUACAUAAAAACUUAUACGUUUCGAUAUUCACUGCCAGUACUAAAAAUAUAGUUAACGUCAACGUAUAUUAUAGAUUUUUAGUAUUGGCAGUAAAUAUCUGAACGCAUCCAAAGUGUAAAGCACUGACUCAGUGAGAAAUAAAUGGUUGAAAAGAUGUCGAAUUCUGGCUGCGUUCGGAAACGUCACCCGAGUGCUCUUGGGUAUCAUUCUAUUCUUGUCUCACAUUCAACGAACAAUGAUAAUAUGAUACCCGAGAGCACUCAGAUGAUGUUUCUGAACGCAGUUCUAUCCAAUUGACUUGUUCUUUUUCGUUACACUGCUGCACUGGUGCAGGGUAGAGUAAUUUACUCGUUAUUUUCACCACAUAGUGAAAAUAUCCCAAAAUCAUCCCAAAUGUUCACGUAUAUUCACUAACUAAUAAAUAGCAUAAAAAAUCUUAAAAUCGUCGUAUACAUGUCCAAGAUGUCUUGUGAAGUAUCCCAGGAUGUCCUGAUGAGGAAUUUUGUAGGAUAUACUUAGGACAUCCCUGGGAUGCUCCACAAGACAUCUUGAACAUGUGUACGAUGAUCUUAGAACUUCUUAUGCUAUUCGAAGUUAGUGGAUAUACAAUGGAUAUUUAUGGAAGAUAUUACUCUUUAUACAGUAUUUUAUAUAUCGCACGCUUUAUCCAAAAAACGUCCUAAGAACGUCCUUAGGAGUGCAGACGUCCUCUCAAUGUCCUAUAGACGUCUUUAGAAGAUUUCUGCUGUAUAAGUAACAUUCUGAAAUUACUUCAAGUGUUUUACCAUAAUUAAUGAAGUCAAAUAUACACAAAACCCACCAAACACCAAGUUACAUGUAACGUACCUGUUAGUUGUAAUUUCCCACUCAACAAUGUAAUUGUAAUAUAACACGUGUGUUAUAUUGCAAUUAUGUUAUUGAGUGGGAAAUUACAACUAACAAGCACGUUACAUGUAACUUUGUGUUUGCUGGGAAUAUUCAUAAAACAUUUAUAAUAACGCAAUUAAAUUUCCUGAAAAUGUCCCAGGGCAUCCUGGACAUAGUCAAGAUUAUCCUGAGGAUAUGUCUUGUGCUAUCUGUGCUCCAAUGGGUGAGGGGGCUGUUGAACGUACGGUAAGGGGAGCGAAAAUGCUCUCCUUUUUUAUUCGUUCAGCGUCUCUUUCUACAAGUUGACACCGUCGACAUCAAAGAACGUAACCGAAGAUAUCCGAGCUCUGAAAGUUGCAUUAUAGCUUAUGCAUAAUAAUUUUUCGGAGAUUGCAAAUUGGUUAUUUUGGUUAUUGGGUAAUUGAUAUAUUAAUUGUUUUCGAUCUUCGAAUUCGUAAUUAUUAUAUUCAUUUAAGAAAAGUUGUGUCAUAGUAAAAAUGUCAUCUUGUAUCAUAUUUCGGGCUGCGUUAAUCGUUCUGAUCCGAAAAGAAAACGAGAUACGCAAAUCGAACUGGAGAAUUCUAAAAAUGUUUUGUAUCACAAGUACGUAAUAUUAUUUGAUUUUUAAUAUAUUUUUAUUUAUAAACGUUAUAAAUUAUAUAUUUGUACUUGUAAUUAUAUUUUUUCUACGUUUUUAAGUUGUACAUUGUCAGGAAUAGGUUACGUUUAUACAAAUUCUAGAUUUCCUAAAGAGCCACACAAACGCCAACUUUGGUUGAGAGCUUUAAGACUAGAUAAAUAGAAUCCUCCAAAAACAGCUAUCAUUUGUUGUAGUCAUUUUACAGAAAAUGAUUAUCAGAACUGUUACAUAAGUAACCAAAUAUUAAAGCGUACAGCUGUACCUUCAAUAAAUAUUGAUAUGAAUGUACGUACAUAAUAAUUUGAUUUAAUGUUUUAAUGAAGAAAAUUGAUAUAACUUAUUGUCGCCAAUAAUUAAAGCUAAAGAAUGAGUAGGAUUAUAAGCCGACUAACUGGCAAUGUUUUAUUGUAAAUUACAAUCUCGCAACGUUUCGACCAUGUAAUGGGAUUUGGUCCUUUUCAAGUGUCCUUAUGAACAAUUGUUGUCUUGCAUUAUCAUGUGUAACCGAUUAAUUAACUUGAAAAGAACCAAAUCCCAUUGUCAAAACGUUGUGAGAUUGUGAUUUACAAUAAAACAUUGCCAGUUAGUCGACUUGUAAUCUACUCAUUCUUUGGUUUUAAUUAAGCUUCCAAAUUUGUACAAUAUGAAUACUGUUAGUAGUGACUAUAAAUUUAUUUAAAACACUUAAACUAAAUAAUUAAAUGUAAACAGUUUAUAUUUAUUUCUAAGUAGUCUGUGGCUGUUGUAUCAAAGUACAUAAAAUCUGCAAGCUAAUAAUUACUGCGCUUAUAUAAUUAGAAAAUAAUAUUGACGGAAGGAAAUGGGCAGAGCAACAGAUAAACCAUGUUUUGUAUAAAAAGUAUUUAAUAGUUAACACUCGUAAAAUUCGUUAGGUAUAUAGUAUACAUCCGUUAUUCGUUAAGACGUUCUAGUAACAAGAAAGUAUCCCGUGUGCACUCGUAGGAUGACGCCGAACAAGUGCGUGCAUGUGCGUAGGUCCACUAGGACAGCCACGAAAAACUAGUAAAGGGGAGAGCGGAACAAAACACGCUGUGGGCGUGUAAUACGAACAGUAUUAUUCCAACAAAUAUUAAUAUUUAUUUUAAUUUUUUAGUUAUACGAAAAGAGUACAAUGGCUGCCAGUACAAACUGUACAACUGUAUAUACAAAGUGCAGUAAAUGUACCUGCGAAUGUACCUGCAACUAAUAAAGUACCUAUAUGCAUAUAAGUACUGAUGUAUCCCCAAAUAUUAAUGAGACAUUAACAUCUUCAAAAUCUUCAAUUACGGAACCAGUCAAUACUUUUCAUAUCUCAAUAGAUUCCUGGAUUUCUGUUUCACUGGAGAAAUUAUUUAAUUCCCCGAGAAAAAAAUUCGAGAAGCGCAUAAGCGAGAAAUAAAAUUAGUUCGCCGACAACUGUACCGUUCUAGACAACAAAAUUUGCAGUACAAGAAACAAAUUCAAAAUCUUAAUGAAAUUUUACAAUCUUUAAAACAGAAGAACUUGUUGCCAUCUGAAGAAUUGGAGAAAAUUUCAGUGAGUGGAAUAAAAAUUUAUUAAAUCUACAAAUCCAUAAAAUAAAAAAAUUGAAAGUACCUCGUCUAUAUGCACCUGAAUUGCGUCGUUUUGCUGCAAAACAUAAAUAACAAAAAAAAAACAAAUGUAAUAAAUAUAUAUUUCCAUUUCUAUUUAUUAUAUUUCAUUUAUUUAAUUAUCUUUUAAUCUUAACUAUUAUAUUCAAUAAUUUUCUAUCUAUCCAUCUGUUUAUCAUUUGUUUAUCAAUUAUCCAACCAUCUAAUUUUAAAUUAUAAGUUAAUACAGAGACAGAGAAAGAAAGAGAAAUAAUUCAAAUAAAAAUUCAAUUUAAAAUAAUACAUUUUGAUAGUUCGCGUACUUUACGUAUUUAAUGGAACAUAAAUUUUAUCAAAAAAAAAAUUUAAGAGAAGGAAAAAGAUUAAAGAUAGAGAGAUUGAUUGAUUGAUAACAGUAUAUUUAGCCGUAGAAUAUAAGCCUGUGCGGCUCCCAAUAACAUGGUGACUGAUACAUUUGUAAUAGUAGUACAAUUGAAAAGAAUACAGAAAAUCAGUAAGAUCGUAAAGCAUAGCGAAGUGAUGUGAAACGGAAGUUAACUACAAAGAGAAUUAACUACAAAGCAACAUAAGUAUGAUG